AUGGAAAAAAGGCGGAAAAAUGCACAUUUGCAGCCGGUAUUUUUUUUUAUUAUGAAUUUAUUUUUUGUUUUGUUUUUUGCAAUAAAUAUAAAGCAUUGCCAUGAGGUAUUGAAGCGAGUGAAUCAUUUUGUUUCCCUGAUAACACUGCAUGCUUUUAAGUCAGCGCCCACUGAACUGGCUUUAGAGCACAGUGGCAGCCGUCCAGCUUCCCCAAAUGCAUCCUGGCGCAUCAAGUGGCUGCAGUCCUCGGAAAGCAGGAGCUGUGCGGUCAUUUCACACCGCUGUGAUUUCACUUCCAGUGUCCACAAAAAAACACUUAUUGUUACUUUUAAUGAAUAAAAAAAUAAACGUUCUCCAUAUGCUAUCUGCACACUUUGCGCUCGUUAUUACGGAUCAGAGCGCAUUUAUGCCUCUGAAACAUGUCAUUGUUUUUUUUUUUAAUUUAUGCACACAGUAAAUCUAACUGCUGUUAGUAAACCGCGUUUGUUUUUGCAAUUAAUGAACCAUUUGCGGAAGAAAUAUGAGAAGUUUUUUCUGAAUUAUUAUGACAUCAAAUCUUUAUUUUUUUAUUAUUACUAUUUUUGGCAAAUGAUCUUAAUGUGCAGAAUGAACUAAGCGUUAAAUGCAUUACAGCUGGCAACAAGUUACUGGAGUGGAUAUAUUCCCAGCAUAAAUAAUGAUGUUACAGGCUAGAUCACAUGUCAAACACUCGAUUUUUUCUGUCGAUUUAAGCGCUCGUUCAAAUCUAAGCUAAUUAAUUCCCACUAACAUCGCAGCUUCUCGUUUAAUUAUUCCAUCUCGAAGCAAAAAUGUAACAAAAGAUCCACCGAGAGCCUCGGUGAAAGUCCUGAUGUACGUUACAGACAGCGUGCCAGCGCACAGAGAACUUUCCCAUAAUUAAAACAAAAGUCUUACCGUUUAAAUCUCGCAGGGAAGGGGGUGCAAAUGCCGUCGUCUUGACAGUUCACAGAGGGACGAAGUGGUCGGUGACGAACUCCUCCUGGAAUCCACCCUAAACGACUUCCUGUGAGGUAAAAGCCAGAGGCACGGGCUUCAUGUGCGCCCCGUCCGCCACAGCGCAGCUCAUCUGGAGUCUCCGCUCCGAGGAGCGCAGAGCGAGGAGACACGGUGGGAGAAACCUGCUGCCGUCUGCACGACGCGAUGUGGAAAGCCCCUGGUGGUGGUGGAGGGGAGCGAAGCGCAUGGGGGUGGGGGUGAGGCACCAUGGGGCAUCACUGUGACCAUAAUCGGAAAAUAAAUGAUGAAAAGAAUACAAUAACGCCACGUUUAGUUUUGAUCCAUCAUCAUGAGGCAACAGCCCACAUCCCCUCCCCGCUGCUCACAGGUGAUGUAAACUUCUUGUUUAUCAUAGAAAUGAAUUUGUGUCAGGUGUGAGCUGACCCUUGAUGAGGCUGACAGGUAAGGUGUGGGUGCAUCGUUUCAUUACAAGCACAGAGUUGUUUGUCUUUGUUAGUCUGCUCUGAGAGCGACUCCAAGGAGACAAACUGCAUCAGAGGCACUUAGAAGCAUGCUUUUACACAUCACUGUCUGCUUUGUUCUCAAAUUCUGUCUUUUCAUUUGGAGACACUUCUCCAGUCCACCAGGCAUUCUGCAGAGGGAAGUUCAGAGGAAAGUUUGAAUUGGGAGUUUUCUUCUCGGCGUUUAAAGCACGGUCAUUGUCAACCAUCAGGGCUGCAGCAGGAGAAUACACGUUGGUUGUCAGCUGCCACAGCUAAAUCUGGCAAUAUGACCUGCGUGUAUUUUAUAAAACAACACGAUCAAAAGAAAAUAGUUGCUUCAGUUGGUGGAGUAUGACUAAUAAUCCCUAUGUGGAGUUUAGACAAAUUUUCUUUGGGUGUUGGAGUAGGUUGAAAUGUCAAGUGUAGCUGCUUUGCUGAAGUGGUUCACCUGUUAAUCACUGUGUGUGUGUGUGUGUGUGUGUGUGUGUGUGUGUGUGUGUGUGUGUGUGUGUGUGUGUGUUGCUGUGAAACACACACACACACACAGUAAGGGACAAGAGACAAGAACAAAGCCGAGGGGGAGAGAGAGGCUGAGACAAAGAAGGAGGGAGGGAGUCCUGCUGCCGAUUAUCCACCAUCACACAGUCUCUGAGGCUCAGUCAGUGAGGUUAGGAAGGUUAGAAAGCUGAUGUACCAACAAGGAUUUAAAAGCUAGUGGGCAUAAGCUGCAUACAGGGAGGUGCUAACAGAAGAAGAGAGAUUUGGAGGGAGGAAAAAAUCAAAAGGAGGCAUUUUUCAGAGUUACCGAGGGACAGCCAGGGAGAAAAGUGGAAAACAGAAAACGUUUUUGUAGCAUCAUGAUUUACAGGUUAACAGCAGCUCCACAUAUCUAUAGUUUUGAGAUUUUGUUUAUUUAUGAUAAUAAUUCAUUGUCUGAUGCAGGAUCUUGGAUUUUUUUUUUACUAAUCAAUGACUGAAUUUAUACGUCUUGUCAGACUGUUGUCAUUGGAAAUCUUUUUUCUUUUUUUUAAAUAUUUUAUAAAAGAUUUACAUUUUAAAACUUUAACACCUGAUCUGCAUUCCCAAAAAGUUAGUUUUAAAUGUAUAGACAUUUUGCUUUCUAAUUACCUUUUCCUUCCAUGUAGUUAAGCCUUUACACUAUGCCUCAGCACACUAGCUGUCCCGGGUCAUUUUACAUGGCUACAUCUGGGGGUGGAAGUGCUGACUAAGAGCAGGUCUUUUGAAUUUUAAAAUAUUCGUCAGCAGCAAGGUGUUGAAACACUGCUCGAGCCCAUUUCUCAGACCCGUAAUGGGAACUGGAGGCCCGCAGCUACAAACAUAAAUAUCUGUAGAUAAAGUACUUUAAGGUGUGACCAGGAGAUCAAUACAUGUCAAUGAGAAAGAAAUGGUGGAAAAGAGUAAAAAAAAAAGAGGGCCUGGUGGAAAUCAGAGGAAAGAUCUGCAUAAUUUAACCGCAAUGUUAAUGUGAUUUACUUAUUUCUCUAAAAUGAAGACGGUGCAGUGUUGCCAAAGGAAGCUGAUGGAAGACAUCUUUAAUACCUCCCUUAUUUAAAUUUUACCAUGAUCAUAUUGUUCCUCCUUUUUAGACAAAUCAGUUUCAGGAUUUCAGCCAAUGGCAAGACACCUUGUUGCCUUAAAAAAUGUUGCCUCAACAAAAUGAUCUGGAGCAUUACAGCUUGUACUCACAGUUCAACAAUCUAAAUCAUCUCUGCAUGAAUAUUUGAAUAUCUGGGCUGCUGCCAAAUAAGCAUAAUGCAAACUUCAUUAUCUACAGAGGAAAAAAGGGAAGAAGCUUUCCAGGACCGACUGGAAAUGUAGUGUGAAACAGAGUUUUUAACGAGCGUAACUACUUCUAUGCAUCUCACAAACAAGUGCUCUGUUCACUACUACUCACAAUUAAAUUUGGCUUCAAAACAGUUAUAUGGAGAAGAAUACAUUAGCUGGAAUUUAGUUUUAAAAUAAUUUAUGGUUAAUUAAAGGUGUGGACCAUUGAAAAGAUAAUUUUUAUGAUUAUUUCUGAUUAUAAUCGGUCACUCUGAGUUUUAUUUACAAUUAUUAUUAAUACUAAUACUACUAUUACUACUACUACUACUACUACUACUACUACUAAUAAUAAUAAUAAUAAUAAUAAUAAUAAUAAUAAUAAUAAUAAUAAUAAUAAUUUAGUAAUAUCAAAAUAAUAUAGUCCUAAUAAAUAAUAGCAGAAAUGUGGAGACUCAGGUUCUCCCUGCAUAAAAUGCAAAACAAGAAACAGUGUGAACUGGUUUCUUUAUUUCCAGUUUAUUAUACUCAAAAUCAGCUGUUCACUGUGGCACUGUUCAGGGCCCAGCUAAAGCAUGGCUGCCACCACUUCUUGGACCAGAUGUUAACUCAGUAGCGGCUGACAUACUGGUCAUGCAGGUCCACUGCUCUUGUGAGUUGUAGUUCUGGAUACACUUGGGCUGUCUGACCUUGUCCAUGGUCCACUUCUGUUUGUUCCUUCUCUGUCUCAGCAUCAUGGCCAAGAACCUCCACAACAAUGCACCUAAGUAAAAGACAACAUACAUGAUUUAUUUCUAUUUUUACCAAUGUUAUUUCAUGAAAAUUGCUUACAUACAAUUCAUACCAGAGGGUAAAGAGGUUUGUGUGUGUGUAGGUGGAGGGGGGUCAUAGGUGUGGGUAUUGGUUAUUGUAAGUGUGGAUUUCCUUUUUUUUUUUUUUUUUUUUUUUUUUUUU
RNAcentral lists this long non-coding RNA (4196 nucleotides) under Nothobranchius furzeri (turquoise killifish). Its description in RNAcentral is "lncRNA (ENSNFUG00015004701.1)". The record is from RNAcentral. Lineage: Eukaryota; Metazoa; Chordata; Actinopteri; Cyprinodontiformes; Nothobranchiidae.